Molecule: long non-coding RNA, 1253 nt
Organism: Cyprinus carpio (common carp)
Lineage: Eukaryota; Metazoa; Chordata; Actinopteri; Cypriniformes; Cyprinidae
Source: Ensembl
GCUUCACCUCCAUCCAGCUCCUCUCACACAUCUCCACCGAGGAUCUUCUGCGGAUCGGCGUGACUCUAGCGGGACACCAGAAGAAGAUUCUGUCCAGCGUCCAAACGCUGCGGGUCCACGGCGGCUCCCUGCGAUACUGACGCUUCCCAGCAUUCCCUGCUUCUGCUACCAGACUGAUCGACCAAUCACUGUGGAGCACCACAGAGCCAGCCAAUCAGGACAGAGACAGACGUCAGAGACUGAUGGAUUUUCUCUUUGGUCUCAGGAGCGUCUCGUGAGGAAACAGACGAGCGUUACGUCACAGACAUCAGAGGAUGACGUGUUACAGUUGCCGCGGCAACACCGCUGCAUUAUGGGAGCUUAAUCGGAUCUUCACAUUGAAGAUCAUUAUAAUUAUUAUUAUAAAGUGAGAUUAUUUUGUAAUUAUUAUUUUGUACGUAUCAAAACAGCACAAAUAAUGAACGAAUGUUUGUUUAACAAAAGUACUGUGGGAGCUGUCAAUCAAACAGAGUGUAAUCUGUGUGACCAAUCACAUUAAAGAUCUGCACUGGCCCCUCCCAGCAGAGCAGCUGCAGUGUGUUUGUGUUUGUUUUACUGACCAAUCAGCACAGCUUCUUAAAGACGACUAACAUUAAAAACACUGGAUUACGUCACUGUGGAAUAUCAACACUAAAUAGAGCCACAGUUUAAAGAAAAUAAUACUCAAAUGUCUCAUUUUUAAAAACCAUGCCUAAAUGAAGCAACGUUUUGUUGCUUUUAACUGUAGAAAUGCAGUGUGUGUGUGUGUGUGCGCAUGUGUAUAGUGUGCGUGUGUGUGUGUGUAUAGUGUGUGUUUCUAGAGAACUGAAUCUCUGAGUGAAUCGGAUUAUCGAGAAAGAAAACGUGAAGGGCGGGGCUGGAUGUUGAGAUAUGGGCGUGGCGUAUGCAGAUGAGCGUCAGCUUGCAGAGGCGGAGCUUAAGAGCACUGAACGACGAUCCAGUUAUGACAUUCUGAUUAAACAUCACCAGCACAAAACAUAUUUAAAAUGAGACCUGCACAGAUCAGUCGUUCACAAGAAGAUCAAAUAUAUGCAUUUAGAGUGAAUUUUCAUUUCAUGACUAAUUUAAAACCCUGUUCUAAAGUGACAUCAAACCCAGAAAACUAAUUCACCGUGUUUCCUCCAGGAACUGAGUUUGACACCCCUGCUCUACUGUUUCAAUUUGAGUUUCAAACUGCUUGAAACAUUAAUUUCUAAUUGGAAUUUUGCCAAUUU